RNAcentral lists this ribosomal RNA (275 nucleotides) under Clostridioides difficile. RNAcentral describes it as "partial 16S ribosomal RNA". It matches the Rfam family "Bacterial small subunit ribosomal RNA", at positions 945 to 1219 of the family's 1533-position model. Lineage: Bacteria; Bacillati; Bacillota; Clostridia; Peptostreptococcales; Peptostreptococcaceae. The record is from RNAcentral.
UUUAAUUCGAAGCAACGCGAAGAACCUUACCUAAGCUUGACAUCCCAAUGACAUCUCCUUAAUCGGAGAGUUCCCUUCGGGGACAUUGGUGACAGGUGGUGCAUGGUUGUCGUCAGCUCGUGUCGUGGGAUGUUGGGUUAAGUCCCGCAACGAGCGCAACCCUUGUCUUUAGUUGCCAUCAUUAAGUUGGGCACUCUAGAGAGACUGCCAGGGAUAACCUGGAGGAAGGUGGGGAUGACGUCAAAUCAUCAUGCCCCUUAUGCUUAGGGCUACAC